This is a long non-coding RNA of Oncorhynchus keta (chum salmon), 130 nucleotides long. RefSeq lists it as uncharacterized. The transcript has 3 exons. The record is from RefSeq and is a predicted model, not a curated record. NCBI's taxonomy places the organism in Eukaryota, Metazoa, Chordata, Actinopteri, Salmoniformes, Salmonidae.
CUGAAGGAGGUUCUAGGUAUCCUGGUGUCAUACAGAGUCAUGGUUAAGCUCAUCAUUGGCGGAAUAUUGGGAUCUAGUGAGGUGGGAGUAGAGCUGCCACUCACACUGAUGCACCCAAAACCUGACCUAG